This is a small nuclear RNA of Fukomys damarensis (Damara mole-rat), 106 nucleotides long. The record is from Ensembl. NCBI's taxonomy places the organism in Eukaryota, Metazoa, Chordata, Mammalia, Rodentia, Bathyergidae.
AUGCCCGCUUUGGCAGCACAUAUACUAAAAUUGGAAUAAUACAGAAAAGAUUAGCAUGGUCCCUGCAAAGGAAGGCAUGCAAAUUCGUGAAGUCUUCUACAUCCUU